GACGAACGCUGGCGGCGUGCCUAAUACAUGCAAGUCGAACGCUUUUUCUUUCACCGGAGCUUGCUCCACCGAAAGAAAAGGAGUGGCGAACGGGUGAGUAACACGUGGGUAACCUACCCUCCAGCGGGGGAUAACACUUGGAAACAGGUGCUAAUACCGCAUAAUAGAGAAAACCGCCUGGUUUUCUUUUGAAAGGCGCAAUUGCGUCACUGGAGGAUGGACCCGCGGUGCAUUAGCUAGUUGGUGAGGUAACGGCUCACCAAGGCAACGAUGCAUAGCCGACCUGAGAGGGUGAUCGGCCACAUUGGGACUGAGACACGGCCCAAACUCCUACGGGAGGCAGCAGUAGGGAAUCUUCGGCAAUGGACGAAAGUCUGACCGAGCAACGCCGCGUGAGUGAAGAAGGUUUUCGGAUCGUAAAGCUCUGUUGUUAGAGAAGAACAAGUAAGAUAGUAACUGAUCUUGCCUUGACGGUAUCUAACCAGAAAGCCACGGCUAACUACGUGCCAGCAGCCGCAGUAACAC
This 525-nucleotide ribosomal RNA is filed under the name uncultured bacterium. RNAcentral's name for it is "bacterial SSU rRNA". It matches the Rfam family "Bacterial small subunit ribosomal RNA", at positions 28 to 526 of the family's 1533-position model. The record is from RNAcentral.